This 111-nucleotide transfer RNA is filed under the name Scleropages formosus (Asian bonytongue). It matches the Rfam family "tRNA". Rfam says of the family: Transfer RNA (tRNA) molecules are approximately 80 nucleotides in length. Lineage: Eukaryota; Metazoa; Chordata; Actinopteri; Osteoglossiformes; Osteoglossidae. The record is from Rfam by way of RNAcentral.
GUCAGGGUGGCCGAGUGGUCUAAGGUGCCAGACUCAAGGUUCAGUACCUUCCAUACCAGUGAGUCUUCUGGUCUCUGAACAGAGGCGUGGGUUCAAAUCCCACUCCUGGCA